AGCAGGCGGCCUAGCUCUCUUUUGUUCUCAGCGGGCCCCCAGCUAUUUAAAGUAUGCUGGGUCUUGUCAGCGCUCAGAGGCAGGCAAGACAGAAGCCAGUCCCUCAGGUAGUCCCUUUGAAAAGUCAGAAUGUUGAACGUAUAGUCCAGGCUUCUCUUUCCCUACCCAGGGAGAUAUACCAGGAGUCGGGACUAGGACGGUGCACACUGAAAUGGGUGUUGAACAAGUCAGUCUGACACAUCUGCCUUUAUAAGGCUAUAGCAACUCUGCUCCCGGGAACCUAUUCCAUAGGAAUGAAGGUACCAAUAAUAGGCAGAAAGACUGAAAAGCUUCAGGAGAAAGAGACCUUCUUUGCUGCCCGGGCCAUAUAUCAAUUUUAGAGAAGCUUCUGAUUGGCUCUGCUUUGGCCAUGUGACCACCAAAUGCCUGUCAAGGAGGAAACGGGGCACCAUGAUUGACCUGCCCACCAGGAUCAUGUGGAAUUGAGGAAAGGAUCUUCAAAGUGACCCAGAGAAAGAAAUGGGAAACCAUGCUAGACAAACAGAACUUCGUUACCAUAGUCCCAAUGAGGACAAAACCAAUGCUACCUAUUUCUUGAUUUUUGUGGAAAUGUUAAAAUAACCAAAAUCUCGCUCUCUCUUCCUAUAUCCAUAUUUUUAUGACUCAUUUUAACAUUCUGUAAUCACAUUCAGAAUCACAUUCUGUAAAAUUUGAAAUGGACUAUAGAAAAGUUAUCACAUAGAUGAGGAAAAGGAGGCUAAAAAGAAAACGCUUGGUCUAAUUUCAUAUAAAUACUUGCUUUGUGGUUUUUCCUCCAUUUUUAUUUGUUAUAAGAAUAAUUUUAUGAGCUUAACCAUUUUCAGAUAAAAAACUAUGCCAAAUGCAAGAUGAGUAAGUUCUAGAAAACUACUGUAACAACAUAGCACCUAAAAUUAAAUUUGUUAAGAGGAUAGAUCUCCUGUUAAGUAUUCUCACCAGAAAAAACCACCCAAACCAGAAAACAUCACAAAAGAACACAGGGAAAUUUUUGAAGGUGGUGGAUAUGUUUAGUAUUGGUUACGGUGAUGGUACUAUAGGUAUAUGCAUAUAUUCGACGCCAUCAUGAUGUAUAUGCUAAAUGUAUGAAAUUUUUGUACAUCAGCUAUAAUUCAAUAAAGCUAAAAGAGGGAAAAUGAU
Acinonyx jubatus (cheetah) is the source of this 1176-nucleotide long non-coding RNA. RefSeq lists it as uncharacterized. The record is from RefSeq and is a predicted model, not a curated record. The transcript has 4 exons. Lineage: Eukaryota; Metazoa; Chordata; Mammalia; Carnivora; Felidae.